Long non-coding RNA from Halichondria panicea, 402 nucleotides. RefSeq lists it as uncharacterized. The record is from RefSeq and is a predicted model, not a curated record. The transcript is spliced from 4 exons. Lineage: Eukaryota; Metazoa; Porifera; Demospongiae; Suberitida; Halichondriidae.
AGUAAGGGCUAUUCCUUCUUUUAAUUAGUGAUAGUGGUUGCGUUGCUUAGUCGACCUUUUAGAGCUAUAUUCUCUUUACUUUUUACAUUAAAAGUGAUCAAUUUCACCAUUUCUAUGUACAGCACAUUGUAUGGCAGCCAAGACAGAUUAAUUAAAGCCAGAUCAUGUCAUCAAUUGAGGGUACAAUGCAAAAAAACCUUCAAGACGAGGUGCAUGCAAGAUUGCAAUCUCAAAAUUUCAAAUUGCUAUAGGUGUUGAGCAAAGACAGUCCGGAUCCGGGCCAAGUAAAGACCUACUAUAUAGAGAUGAUGAUCAUGAUGACCAAAAACUGUUUGCAUAAUUAUCAUAUGAUCCUAAUCAAUUAAUGUUUUCUGUCAUUUAUAUUGUGAUGUUAUAUUAUUA